CAUUUUCGGUCUUUCGCUCGUGGCUGCUUUGUGAGGGAGGAGUGAUUUCCAGUGGUCGUGGAACAUUUCAGACGCUCAACAAGGCAGCACCACAAGCACAAGGUGUUGGACUGCCAGUGGGUUUGGAAGUUUGAAGCGUCGUUUGGCCUGGUUCACCUGUAUGGCUGUAAAUAAAGUGCCCGCAUCACUGUAAUCAAUCCAAGUGGGUUUAUCAUUUACAUAAAAUCUUGGUGGUUUUGUAAGUCAUUUAUGUAUUUUUCAUUUCUUUGAAUAAAGUCUUUUUUCAGUGGA
Long non-coding RNA from Polypterus senegalus (gray bichir), 291 nucleotides. RefSeq lists it as uncharacterized. NCBI's taxonomy places the organism in Eukaryota, Metazoa, Chordata, Cladistia, Polypteriformes, Polypteridae. The record is from RefSeq and is a predicted model, not a curated record. The transcript has 3 exons.